AUACGAAGGGGGCUAGCGUUGUUCGGAAUCACUGGGCGUAAAGCGCAUGCAGGCGGAUCGUUUAGUCGGGGGUGAAAUCCCGAGGCUCAACCUCGGAACUGCCUCCGAUACUGGCGAUCUUGAGUCCGGGAGAGGUGAGUGGAACUGCGAGUGUAGAGGUGAAAUUCGUAGAUAUUCGCAAGAACACCAGUGGCGAAGGCGGCUCACUGGCCCGGUACUGACGCUCAGGUGCGAAAGCGUGGGGAGCAAACAGGAUGAGAUACCCUGGUAGUCCACGCCGUAAACGAUGAAUGCUAGCCGUUGGACAGCAUGCUGUUCGGUGGCGCAGCCAACGCAAUAAGCAUUCCGCCUGGGGAGUACGAUCGCAAGAUUAAA
RNAcentral lists this ribosomal RNA (375 nucleotides) under uncultured bacterium. RNAcentral's name for it is "bacterial SSU rRNA". It matches the Rfam family "Bacterial small subunit ribosomal RNA", at positions 523 to 898 of the family's 1533-position model. The record is from RNAcentral.